Daktulosphaira vitifoliae (grape phylloxera) is the source of this 1187-nucleotide RNA transcript. It is a transcript of the gene named protein lin-37 homolog, with no coding region annotated. NCBI's taxonomy places the organism in Eukaryota, Metazoa, Arthropoda, Insecta, Hemiptera, Phylloxeridae. The transcript is spliced from 7 exons. The record is from RefSeq and is a predicted model, not a curated record.
CCUAUUACCUCUUUAUCGUAUCUCAUAUAAUUUUUAAUCAUGAAUUAAAUUCGAAAAUUACAUAGAAAAACUUAGUUAAUUCUACCAAAUUUGACUAGGAAUUAUAUUUGUCUUGCUUAAUCAAUAAUAUUACAUUCCAACUUGAAAAAACAUUUGCUAUUCAACUCAAUAUAAUGGUGAAGAAACGUAAAAAUGCUCUUAGGUCAUCUGCUCAAGUUGUUGACUCGCCAAUGAAGGAACCUAGAAUUAUAAGAGGUAACCAAUUAGAAAAAGCUCGUAAUAGUUUAAAUGAUGCUUUAGAUAUAAUUGCUAAAAAAGAACAAAAAAAGACUGAAAUUGUACCAGAAAAUCUUACACCUGUAGAUGGAAAUGAAAAUAACAAAAAAUCAAAAAAAAAUGAGACUAAACAAGAAGUCAAAGAUUCAUUAGUAUUAAAAUUACGUGAUCGUAGUAUUGAUUUAGCUUCAUUUACUGAAAAUACAUCUAUGUACACUAUUUGUCGAGCAUGGAUAAAAAAUGACCCUCUAUCUGCAAGACAAUCUAAAAAUAAGAAAACUGAUGUUUCUGAACGUUCAUUUAAAAGUGACAACGAUUCAACAGUUGUUGAAGACUAUGUGUAUAAAUUACCUACUCCAAAAAUUAAACUAGAAAUUGGAAUUGAUGAAGAAUGUUUUAUGCCUUUAGACUUGCCAAAAGACACUUUAACAACUUUAGAUGUAAAAAUUAAUCCUGAUGAAAUUGCUACUGUGAAGGAACUAUUAAAUGAACAUCGUAAACGAUGGCUUUAUGUAAGGCAAAAGUGGAUCUCUUUUAGCAACAAAAAUGAAUCCCGUUAUGUGAUGUCAAAAAAUAUAUUGACAGCUAUGUUAAACAAGUGAGUUGUGAUUGUCACAGGCGCACAUAAGACUGUAUAAACCUAGAAUGUUGUAUUAAAAUAAAAUACAAAAAAAAUUGUGUAAAAACGGGUGAUUUAAAAGUCUUCACUUGAUUACAAGUUAAUACAACUCGAGAUAACAGUAUGUGACUAAUGGGUAUAAGCUUAAUGAAUAUUAGUUUUGGAAUAAGUUAAUAAAUAUUAGUUUUUAAUUUUUGAAAAAAUCUUCAUUUUAUAUUUUAAACUAAGUAAUUUAUAAACUUAAUUUUUUAACAUAAAAUUAUACUUAAGUGUACAAAUAAAUUAAUGUUUU